GACGAACGCUGGCGGCGUGCUUAACACAUGCAAGUCGAACGGAAAGGCCCUUCGGGGUACUCGAGUGGCGAACGGGUGAGUAACACGUGGUGAUCUGCCCUGCACUCUGGGAUAAGCCUGGGAAACUGGGUCUAAUACCGGAUAUGAUCAUGCGCCUCAUGGUGUGUGGUGGAAAGCUUUUGCGGUGUGGGAUGGGCCCGCGGCCUAUCAGCUUGUUGGUGGGGUAAUGGCCUACCAAGGCGACGACGGGUAGCCGGCCUGAGAGGGUGACCGGCCACACUGGGACUGAGAUACGGCCCAGACUCCUACGGGAGGCAGCAGUGGGGAAUAUUGCACAAUGGGCGCAAGCCUGAUGCAGCAACGCCGCGU
RNAcentral lists this ribosomal RNA (369 nucleotides) under uncultured bacterium. RNAcentral's name for it is "bacterial SSU rRNA". It matches the Rfam family "Bacterial small subunit ribosomal RNA", at positions 28 to 402 of the family's 1533-position model. The record is from RNAcentral.